GGGCUUGUGGUCUAGUGGUAUGAUUCUUCCUUAGCAUGGAUUUUGAGCGGGCGCGACCCUUUCAUCAAUCUGUACUUUCCCAACUUGGAAGAGGUCCGGGGUUCAAUUCCCCGCGAGUCCA
This is a non-coding RNA of Biscogniauxia sp. FL1348, 121 nucleotides long. Lineage: Eukaryota; Fungi; Ascomycota; Sordariomycetes; Xylariales; Xylariaceae. The record is from the annotation of a GenBank genome assembly.